This 940-nucleotide ribosomal RNA is filed under the name Curtobacterium sp. Its description in RNAcentral is "bacterial SSU rRNA". It matches the Rfam family "Bacterial small subunit ribosomal RNA", at positions 553 to 1493 of the family's 1533-position model. The record is from RNAcentral. Lineage: Bacteria; Bacillati; Actinomycetota; Actinomycetes; Micrococcales; Microbacteriaceae.
AUUGGGCGUAAGAGCUCGUAGGCGGUUUGUCGCGUCUGCUGUGAAAUCCCGAGGCUCAACCUCGGGCUUGCAGUGGGUACGGGCAGACUAGAGUGCGGUAGGGGAGAUUGGAAUUCCUGGUGUAGCGGUGGAAUGCGCAGAUAUCAGGAGGAACACCGAUGGCGAAGGCAGAUCUCUGGGCCGUAACUGACGCUGAGGAGCGAAAGCAUGGGGAGCGAACAGGAUUAGAUACCCUGGUAGUCCAUGCCGUAAACGUUGGGCGCUAGAUGUAGGGACCUUUCCACGGUUUCUGUGUCGUAGCUAACGCAUUAAGCGCCCCGCCUGGGGAGUACGGCCGCAAGGCUAAAACUCAAAGGAAUUGACGGGGGCCCGCACAAGCGGCGGAGCAUGCGGAUUAAUUCGAUGCAACGCGAAGAACCUUACCAAGGCUUGACAUACACCGGAAACGGCCAGAGAUGGUCGCCCCCUUGUGGUCGGUGUACAGGUGGUGCAUGGUUGUCGUCAGCUCGUGUCGUGAGAUGUUGGGUUAAGUCCCGCAACGAGCGCAACCCUCGUUCUAUGUUGCCAGCGGGUUAUGCCGGGGACUCAUAGGAGACUGCCGGGGUCAACUCGGAGGAAGGUGGGGAUGACGUCAAAUCAUCAUGCCCCUUAUGUCUUGGGCUUCACGCAUGCUACAAUGGCCGGUACAAAGGGCUGCGAUACCGUAAGGUGGAGCGAAUCCCAAAAAGCCGGUCUCAGUUCGGAUUGAGGUCUGCAACUCGACCUCAUGAAGUCGGAGUCGCUAGUAAUCGCAGAUCAGCAACGCUGCGGUGAAUACGUUCCCGGGCCUUGUACACACCGCCCGUCAAGUCAUGAAAGUCGGUAACACCCGAAGCCGGUGGCCUAACCCUUGUGGAGGAGCCGUCGAAGGUGGGAUCGGUGAUUAGGACGAAGUCGUACA